AUACUUACCUGGACAGGGUCAAUGGGUGAUCAUGAAGGCCCAUGGUCUAGGUCAGUGACUUCCAUUGCACUUUAGGAGGGGUGCUGGUCUAAGGUCUCCCCAAGUUGGGAGAGCCUAUGUCGUAAUUUGUGGUAGUUGGGGCCUGCGUUCGCGCGGCCCCUAU
RNAcentral lists this small nuclear RNA (163 nucleotides) under Manihot esculenta (cassava). RNAcentral describes it as "U1 spliceosomal RNA". It matches the Rfam family "U1 spliceosomal RNA". From Rfam's summary of the family: U1 is a small nuclear RNA (snRNA) component of the spliceosome (involved in pre-mRNA splicing). Its 5' end forms complementary base pairs with the 5' splice junction, thus defining the 5' donor site of an intron. There are significant differences in sequence and secondary structure between metazoan and yeast U1 snRNAs, the latter being much longer (568 nucleotides as compared to 164 nucleotides in human). Lineage: Eukaryota; Viridiplantae; Streptophyta; Magnoliopsida; Malpighiales; Euphorbiaceae. The record is from Rfam by way of RNAcentral.